This 29-nucleotide non-coding RNA is filed under the name Homo sapiens (human). The record is from RNAcentral. Lineage: Eukaryota; Metazoa; Chordata; Mammalia; Primates; Hominidae.
UGAGAGUCGGCCUUCUGAGCAGCAUGGGC